This is a long non-coding RNA of Oxyura jamaicensis (ruddy duck), 209 nucleotides long. RefSeq lists it as uncharacterized. The transcript has 2 exons. NCBI's taxonomy places the organism in Eukaryota, Metazoa, Chordata, Aves, Anseriformes, Anatidae. The record is from RefSeq and is a predicted model, not a curated record.
UUUUUUAAACCCAUAAAAUAAAAACUUAAUUUUUUGGAUUGAAAUAAUUCGCGGAAAUGGCUAAUUCCCCCCGGGCUGGUUUCAAUGGAUGUGAAGAUACCUCGCCUUUGGCCUCCUACCAGUUUCUCCUCCAGUGGCUAGACCAAAGGCAGCGCGGCUCUCGGGAGCAGCACUUUCCCAGGCUUGGCUUUCGCUGGCCGGGAGGAUGU